UUUUUUUUGUUUUUUGUUAUUUCAGAUUAUGAAUCUCUGAGAAUUGGUGGGCUGGUUUUUGCAGUGGUGCUGUUCUUCCUGGGCAUCGCAAUCAUUGUCAGCCGAAAGUGUACCUGUUCAAAGAGAGACAACCCAAGACCCAGGGGUCCUGAUGGGGAACCAGGUGUUCGAAGAG
Molecule: non-coding RNA, 175 nt
Organism: Neolamprologus brichardi
Lineage: Eukaryota; Metazoa; Chordata; Actinopteri; Cichliformes; Cichlidae
Source: RefSeq, a predicted model, not a curated record